This is a long non-coding RNA of Coturnix japonica (Japanese quail), 2277 nucleotides long. RefSeq lists it as uncharacterized. The record is from RefSeq and is a predicted model, not a curated record. NCBI's taxonomy places the organism in Eukaryota, Metazoa, Chordata, Aves, Galliformes, Phasianidae.
AUCAUUAUAACUUAUUUGAAAAGACAUUUACCAUUUGUAUGAUUUUCCCAAAUGUAAUACAUUUUCUUGCAUCUUUGUUCAUUCAAAGCUCCUGAAAUAUGCCUGAAAUAAACCCAUAUUGGAGUUGAAAAUAACAUAAUGUUCCAGGAAGUCAAAUUAAAAGCAUUUUUUUUAAUCAGUGGGGCCUCCACAGGAAAGCAUUGCUGUGCAGGGAGACAGAGGCAGUGUCCAGGUUAAUUUUCUUUUCUUUUCUUCCUCCUACAAAUAAAUGACCCAAUGGAAUGGGAAACAUUGGUCACAAAACCAACCAUCCCAGCAGUGUGCACCAGCACUUCAAAACACCGCAUGUUAACCUUGUCAGCACUGCCUAUUUUUUCCUUCCUUGCAGUUAGCUGUGAGCAGGGCCUGGACACAUGCACUGCUGUGUUUGCUGCUGUUAUACAGGGGCUGUCAGCACUGUGAUGGGAAUGCUGGGGAGGCAGUGGAGAAGCUGAAGAGGUGAAGCAAUUUAGGACUCAAUCCAAAGUUUAUCCAAGCCAUCAGGAAGCUUCGUGUUGGUUGUGCAGCCUUCGGCAAAGGCACGGCUCCCCUCGCUGCAACCACAUCUGAGCCACUGCAACAGGCAUUACUUAAUAGCGCUGAGAAGAGAAACAGAAGAAAAUUUCUUUGAAGAUUUACCUGGGCCUGAAAGGGCAGGAGGGGAGAAGACGAAGUGGAAAUAUGGGCAAAUGGAGGAGAACCAUUUGCCACCAUCCAAACAGGUCCUUUUCAACCACUUUUCUGUUGUGUACCUGCUUGUAGCCAGAGCCACUUGGUGCAAGCAGAGGUUAGAGACCUUUGGGGCUAACGCUGAAGUUCCAGCCUUUCUUCUGUUUCUUCUUAAUGUGAUGAAACCUGAGUCUGAAUGGGGAAAGUUCAGUCGUAAUGUGGCCAGCCCUGCGGUGUUGAGCUGAGAAAGUCUGCGGUUAUUAUUUCCUCCUCUGGGGCGUUUGUGGAUGACCAUUGCUGCCCUGAGAGCACCCGCCUGCUUGGCAGCCCCUGCCCAGUCUGCAGCCACUCAGCACGGCGUAUCCCACCCACAGCGAUGCUUUGUGCCAGCACCACCUGGCUGGGGGUUACAGCCCUAGUGCUCAGCACUUGCACCUUUUACCUCCCUGUGCACAAAAGGCCAGGGUGGGCCUCCCUGACCUGAUGUGCCACCGAGGGAGCUUGCUUGUGAGUUUGUACAGUGUGUGGCUAGGAAUCAGCUGUAGCAAUCUGCCCACAGAACUCAAGCAACACCAGAAAAACUCAUUAUUCAAUACCUUAUUUCAUGCUCUGGAAACAAGAGCAACAACCCCAGCCCUUCCUCCCCUUACAGUGGUGCGGUUUCCAUCAGUCUUUUCAACUCCUAAUGAGAUUUAGCACUGGGGAGGGAUGUUUGUGCCAGAAGGACCAAGGCUUCUCAUCAAAAAGACAUUGAAGUGUUCAGAAAAGUUCCUAUAACAUUUGGAUCAAACCCCAUUUCUGUAUGGAAGAACGGAGGUAAUGCCACCUUUGUGAAGGUUUUAGGAGCUGUCUCUCUGCUCCUAUGUCAGGAAUGUGUUUGUGGAAAGUCUGCAAGAUCUUACCAAAUGAACUCAUCAGAGACUCACCCUGUGCCAAAAGACACGUUGCCCCAGGGAUGCUUGCACCAGUUCAUGGCCUCCUUUCCUGCCCCAGCACAGAGAACAACUCCUGCUGAUGGAGCAGAGGCUGCUGUCAGAGAGCUCAGCAGCAUCUCACAAAGCAAAACCCUCUGUGGCUCUGCUCCUCCUGCAGGAAAUUAGAACUGAAGGAGGGAGUGCAGUUUUCUGCAAGCAAACAGAGCUGAAGUGACAGGGAAGUGGCACUGUGACACACACAGCGUGCACCUUACUCUGCUAUUCCCCUGAUGAUCAAUGUUACCGGAGGCAUUUUGCAGAUGAGUGCAGUUACCUCUUAUUCCCAGUAAGGAUGCAAUGUGAAAUGCAAAUACUCGAAAGGUUAGGCUGCUGUAUAGCAGUAAUUACUCAUGCAGCUAUGCAGGAAUAGAACAGCAGUAGAUCUUUGAGUUUAUUAUAAAACAAUCUCAAAAAUACCAUGGCUGAGAUCAGCUGUUGUAUACAUGCAUUGCUUACCCCCAGCUCUGACCCACCUGGAUGCAGCCUGAGCAUUUGCAGAAGGGCUGCCAGUCCCCAGCCCUGACCUUGGCAGCUGCCCAGCACAUCCUAUCAUUGAGCCUAUGGUCCCACCCUGGCUGCUACAUGGAAGCACCAA